UAGGUUAAAGCCCGCUGGGUUGGGUGUUUAGUNGUUAAUUAAAAUUUUACGGGAUCGAGGCCCGUUAGCCUAGU
This 74-nucleotide transfer RNA is filed under the name Cyrtopodion sp. TG-2012. RNAcentral's name for it is "tRNA-Asn". The record is from RNAcentral. Lineage: Eukaryota; Metazoa; Chordata; Lepidosauria; Squamata; Gekkonidae.